Molecule: ribosomal RNA, 269 nt
Filed under: uncultured prokaryote
Description: partial 16S ribosomal RNA
Rfam family: Bacterial small subunit ribosomal RNA
Source: RNAcentral
UACGUAGGUGGCGAGCGUUGUCCGGAUUUACUGGGCGUAAAGGGAGCGUAGGCGGACUUUUAAGUGAGAUGUGAAAUACCCGGGCUCAACUUGGGUGCUGCAUUUCAAACUGGAAGUCUAGAGUGCAGGAGAGGAGAAUGGAAUUCCUAGUGUAGCGGUGAAAUGCGUAGAGAUUAGGAAGAACACCAGUGGUGAAGGCGAUUCUCUGGACUGUAACUGACGCUGAGGCUCGAAAGCGUGGGGAGCAAACAGGAUUAGAUACCCCGGUA